RNAcentral lists this long non-coding RNA (1255 nucleotides) under Macaca fascicularis (crab-eating macaque). RNAcentral describes it as "lncRNA (ENSMFAG00000056008.1)". Lineage: Eukaryota; Metazoa; Chordata; Mammalia; Primates; Cercopithecidae. The record is from RNAcentral.
UUUUUGGGUUUUAGUUACAGAUACUGAGGGUGCUCAAACAUCCAUGCAAUUUGCUGUUCACCAUAACACGCAACCCGGAAUGGCUGUUUCGGUCCCCCGUCGGUUACCUGAAAAGCAGUCUUACUGGGCCCCAACCCCAAAUCAAUUUGGUGAGAACCUGAACUCCGCUAUUAACCUUAAUUCUGAGAGAAGAAUGACACCCCCCUCCCACUGCUGGGGUCCACUGAGGGUGAGUGCCCGGGCUCCUUCAUUCUCCAGGCUCCUCUCAGAACACAGCGAGGGUGGCGGACUCCUUCCAAUGUCCAUUAAGCACAAUGCACCGGGGAGAGGCAGUAGGCGGUUUGCUGAGCCCGGUUCCGAGGCGGUGGGAAGUUAUUCACCGGCGUCUCCGAGGACAGCCCAGGCCUGGAGAAUGGCUGGGGCCGCGGGCUGGAGUAGGGGUUACCGGUGAGAGUCAAGGGCAAGUUGGCCAGGCCCGGGCCGGGAGGCGCGGGCAGGACGCAGCCGAGCAUUUCCUCCGGGAGGCCCAGACAGCGGGCGGGUGGGGCGCGGUGGGCGGGGUCCUCGCAGUUGGUGGCUUUUGAAGCCCCCCCGACCGCGGUGGGAGAGGGGCAGCCUAGAAGAGUUGGCAGCGGGCCUGAGGCGGGAGGGGGGAGGAAGGGGCCCCGCGUUCCCUCAGCAGCGGCGCCGGCCGCCCUGGCACGUAGUUCGCUUCUGGAGGCACAGGCCGCGGUGGGCGCGCCACCCGGGCUGCCAGGCUCACCGCCAGCCGAGGCCAGACCUGUUCGGGCUGACCCGAGCUCAAGGGUAGCGCGGCCGCACACCGGACCCCGGCCGCCAGGAACGAGCCCGAGGAGUCUGUCCCUCCCGCAGGAACUGCCCCGCCCGGACUCCCGGAGCUCUGCAGGGCAAGGGCGUGGAGCGGGCGAGCGGCCUAAGGCUCUAGGCGCGGCCACCCGGCAAACUGGCGGCUGAGGGCGCGGCGCGAGUGCUUUCCGCCCCAGGCAGCCCCGCGCCCGGCCGAGCAGACACGCCUCCCGGCCGGCGCCCAUCGCGGGAGGAACAAAUGGCGCCCUCCAGAAAGCACUCCGCUCCACGCCGGGGGCGAAGGCUGGCCACCACACAAAAGCUCCGGCAGGGAAGUGCCCGCUGUGUCCCCACCGCGGGGGUACGGGCAGCAGCUCCGCGCCGCGACUACCAGGCCCACCACCCCCAGACGUCAUGCGUCAGCGCGCCCCGCUCCAGUUUCCGCCCC